This 521-nucleotide ribosomal RNA is filed under the name uncultured bacterium. RNAcentral describes it as "bacterial SSU rRNA". It matches the Rfam family "Archaeal small subunit ribosomal RNA", at positions 345 to 866 of the family's 1478-position model. The record is from RNAcentral.
AACCUCCGCAAUGUGAGAAAUCGCGACGGGGGGAUCCCAAGUGCCAUUCUUAACGGGAUGGCUUUUCAUUAGUGUAAAGAGCUUUUGGAAUAAGGGCUGGGCAAGACCGGUGCCAGCCGCCGCGGUAACACCGGCAGCUCUAGUGGUAACAAUUUUUAUUGGGCCUAAAGCGUCCGUAGCCGGUUUAAUAAGUCUCUGGUGAAAUCCUGUAGCUUAACUGUGGGAAUUGCUGGAGAUACUAUUAGACUUGAGACCGGGAGAGGUUAGAGGUACUCCCAGGGUAGAGGUGAAAUUCUGUAAUCCUGGGAGGACCGCCUGUUACGAAGGCGUCUAACUGGAACGGUUCUGACGGUGAGGGACGAAAGUUAGGGGCGCGAACCGAAUUAGAUACCCGGGUAGUCCUAACUGUAAACGAUGCGGACUUGGUGUUGGGGUGGCUUUGAGCUGCUCCAGUGCCGGAGGGAAGCUGUUAAGUCCGCCGCCUGGGAAGUACGGUCGCAAGACUGAAACUUAAAGGAAUU